UACGUAGGGUGCGAGCGUUAAUCGGAAUUACUGGGCGUAAAGUGUGCGCAGGCGGCCGAGCAAGUCGAGUGUGAAAGCCCCGAGCUUAACUUGGGAACUGCGCUCGAAACUACUUGGCUAGAGUGUGGCAGAGGGAGGUGGAAUUCCACGUGUAGCGGUGAAAUGCGUAGAGAUGUGGAGGAACACCGAUGGCGAAGGCAGCCUCCUGGGCAACACUGACGCUCAUGCACGAAAGCGUGGGGAGCAAACAGG
Molecule: ribosomal RNA, 252 nt
Filed under: uncultured bacterium
Lineage: Bacteria
Description: partial 16S ribosomal RNA
Rfam family: Bacterial small subunit ribosomal RNA
Source: RNAcentral